AGGUGGGGAAAGGAGACGCAAAGAGGUUAAGUAAUUGGCAAAAUUAGACUUUUCACUGUGCCCCAGAUGUUUUUAAACAUGAUAAGGGAUGAAUGACUAUCUAUUGAGUGAAUAAAGGAGCUGGCAGCAAUGCAAAGGGCAUUUUCCACUGGCCUUAAAGAAUCAGAGGACAGGUUUGACAUCCAGGCUCGGUCCCUCAGCGGUUUUGCAUUCUUGCUCAGGUCUCUUAAGUGCUCUGAAGCUCCAUGUUCUCGACUGUAAAUAACCAUGAUGCUGACUGCACCAGCUUAAUGUGAGGAUUAAAGGAAGUAUGGACCAUGGAAGACUCUGGAGCACAGAAGCUAUUUAAAUGUUUGUUGAAUCCACAUUGUAGUCUCUGAAAUAAUCUCGUGCUUUGCCCUGUCCUUCUCCUGGUAGUAAGGGGAGCCUGAGCAGUAGCCCUACCCCUCUGCCUGCUCCAUCCACCUCUCACCUGCUGUGGCCACCUUCUUGAAAACAGCAGCCUCUGCAUUCCUGGGCCACUUUCUCUGCUGUGUUUUAAUAACACAGCACUCAUCACUUUCUGAUAUGUGAUAAAUACAAUUAAAUUUCCACAAUGGCAA
Homo sapiens (human) is the source of this 602-nucleotide long non-coding RNA. RefSeq annotates it as HLA complex group 21. The record is from RefSeq and is marked validated. NCBI's taxonomy places the organism in Eukaryota, Metazoa, Chordata, Mammalia, Primates, Hominidae.